AAAAAUCUUUUUUGUACACUUUAGUGUAGUCAUAAUUUCUCAAAAUUACUACCUAGUUUAUAGUUAGGUAGUAAUAUAUAUUUAUUUUAUUAUCUGAUCGUACACUUU
RNAcentral lists this small RNA (108 nucleotides) under Rickettsia prowazekii. RNAcentral describes it as "partial sR55 non-coding RNA". Lineage: Bacteria; Pseudomonadati; Pseudomonadota; Alphaproteobacteria; Rickettsiales; Rickettsiaceae. The record is from RNAcentral.